RNAcentral lists this ribosomal RNA (253 nucleotides) under uncultured bacterium. Its description in RNAcentral is "partial 16S ribosomal RNA". It matches the Rfam family "Bacterial small subunit ribosomal RNA", at positions 524 to 776 of the family's 1533-position model. The record is from RNAcentral.
UACGGAGGGGGCUAGCGUUGUUCGGAAUUACUGGGCGUAAAGCGCACGUAGGCGGGUCGUUAAGUCAGGGGUGAAAUCCCGGAGCUCAACUCCGGAACUGCCUUUGAUACUGAAGAUCUUGAGUUCGGGAGAGGUGAGUGGAACUGCGAGUGUAGAGGUGAAAUUCGUAGAUAUUCGCAAGAACACCAGUGGCGAAGGCGGCUCACUGGCCCGAUACUGACGCUGAGGCACGAAAGCGUGGGGAGCAAACAGG